Molecule: ribosomal RNA, 380 nt
Filed under: uncultured eukaryote
Lineage: Eukaryota
Description: partial 18S ribosomal RNA
Rfam family: Eukaryotic small subunit ribosomal RNA
Source: RNAcentral
CAAUAGCGUAUAUUAAAGUUGUUGCGGUUAAAAAGCUCGUAGUUGGAUUUCUGCUGAGAACGACCGGUCCGCCCAUUGGGUGUGUAUCUGGCUCUUUCUUGGCAUCUUCUUGGUGAACGUUACUGCACUUGACUGUGUGGAGCGCUACCCAGGACUUUUACUUUGAGGAAAUUAGAGUGUUUCAAGCAGGCAUACGCCUUGAAUACGUUAGCAUGGAAUAAUAAGAUAGGACCUCGGUUCUAUUUUGUUGGUUUCUAGAGCUGAGGUAAUGAUUAAUAGGGAUAGUUGGGGGUGCUCGUAUUCAACGGCCAGAGGUGAAAUUCUUGGAUUCGUUGAAGACGAACUUAUGCGAAAGCAUUCACCAAGGAUGUCUUCUUUAA